Molecule: small RNA, 360 nt
Filed under: Drosophila ananassae
Lineage: Eukaryota; Metazoa; Arthropoda; Insecta; Diptera; Drosophilidae
Description: GF26685
Source: RNAcentral
CAGUCAGUUUUAGCUUAGCUUUCAAACAAUUGAUCAUGGACGGGAAACGAAUUAUUUUUUGUAUUUCCUUAACGUUUGCCUUAUUUCUAACAUGCGCAUAUUCCUUAGAAAUUCAACACUGCCGAAAUCCGAAUAAACCAGAACCAUAUGAACUUUUUAGUGGUCACUGCACCCCAAUAACCGAAUGCCUCAAUGCAACAAAAUAUCCAGAUAUGACAUUUAAAUCCUCUGACUGUACGGGGGAGGGGAACUAUUGUUGCAGAUUCUCCAUAACUCUCCAUAAUUCAUAACUUUAAAUGGCAAUACAAUAAUCCUAAAUUUGUUCCAUCAAUAGGUGAUUUGAAAUAAAUAUAAAUACGA